UACGUAGGGCGCAAGCGUUGUCCGGAAUUACUGGGCGUAAAGGGCGCGUAGGCGGCCUGCUAAGUCGAACGUGAAAUCCCUGGGCUCAACCCAGGAACUGCGUCCGAUACUGGUUGGCUUGAAUCCGGGAGAGGGAUGUGGAAUUCCAGGUGUAGCGGUGAAAUGCGUAGAUAUCGGGAGGAACACCGGUGGCGAAAGCGCUCUACUGGGCCAUAACUGACACUGAGGGACGAAAGCUAGGGGAGCGAAAGGG
Molecule: ribosomal RNA, 253 nt
Filed under: uncultured bacterium
Lineage: Bacteria
Description: partial 16S ribosomal RNA
Rfam family: Bacterial small subunit ribosomal RNA
Source: RNAcentral